Molecule: ribosomal RNA, 254 nt
Filed under: uncultured bacterium
Lineage: Bacteria
Description: partial 16S ribosomal RNA
Rfam family: Bacterial small subunit ribosomal RNA
Source: RNAcentral
UACGGGGGGAGCAAGCGUUGUUCGGAUUUACUGGGCGUAAAGGGCGCGUAGGCGGCCAGCGCAAGCCAGUUGUGAAAUCUCCGGGCUUAACUCGGAACGGUCAACUGAUACUGCGCGGCUAGAGUGCAGAAGGGGCAACUGGAAUUCUCGGUGUAGCGGUGAAAUGCGUAGAUAUCGUGAGGAACACCAGAGGCGAAGGCGGCUACCUGGACAAUUGCUGACACUCAGGCACGAAAGCGUGGGGAGCAAAAGGG